This 372-nucleotide ribosomal RNA is filed under the name Triticum aestivum (bread wheat). Its description in RNAcentral is "partial small subunit ribosomal RNA". Lineage: Eukaryota; Viridiplantae; Streptophyta; Magnoliopsida; Poales; Poaceae. The record is from RNAcentral.
AUGAGCAGUGAGAGGAGUAGAGGAGGAAGAAAAGGACUGCAACCGCGUGCAGUACAUCACCCCGUGCGGGAUCCGUGCCAUGGUGAUUUUUUGAGUCAUAUUGCAUUUUACUUGCUUGAGCUAGCGGUUCGUCAGUCACAUUCCAUGCAGUGCAUUGCCAUGUUUUUGCAAUGCGUUGGCAUGUCCUUUCCAGUGAAGCACCAUCUAUUUUUCCAUGCAGUGCAUUGGCAUGUUUUUGCAGUGCGUUGGCAUGUUCUUUCCUGGGAAGCACCAUCUAUUUUUGUGACGAUUUUGUGUCUUCUUUGUAUGUUCAGUGCACUACAGUUUAGGGCACCUCGUGCGGUUCAAAAACGUGGGCUUGCAAUGCAUUAG